UCAUGCCACUGCACUCCAGCCUGGGCAACAGAGUGAGAUUCCAUCUCAAAAAAAUAAAAAAAGUGAGGUGAAGUCUCCUACCAUUAUCGUAGACCUAUCUGUUUCUCCUUUCAUUCUACAGUGUUUGCUUAAUAUAUUUAGGAGCUCUGAGGUGUGUUGCAUGUACAUUUAUAACUGUUACAUCUUUUUGGUGAAUUGACUGUUAUCAUUAUCUCUUAUAACAGCUUUUGACCUUAGGUCGAUUUUGUCUGAUAUUAGUAUAGCUACUCCUUCUCUAUCUUAUUUCAUCCUUUCACUUUCAACCUGUGUAAGUCUCUCAGUCUUCUGAUGGUGGAAUUCAUUUGUAUUUUUAAAGAUUAUCAUUCUGAUGCAACUGACUAACCUGGUGACUGUGUCAUGAGGCCCACAGCCAAGGACUGCGGUGACCAGUUGCUGUGGGGAGACUCCAGCACAUUACUGACGGGACUUCCCGAUGGGGAAGGACUUCCUGGUGCCACGCUGUUGAUUGUUUUCUGCAUGGCUUAUGAUAUGUUGUCAUUACCAUGGGGAUUACACGAAACAUCCUGAAGUUAGAGCAAUCCAUUUUAAACUGAUGUUUUGUUGAUGGCUGACGUAGCGGACUCAAAACAACGAGCACUUCUGCUUGAUACACAGAUUCUCCGAGGUUCCUGUGGAGCCACAGCACCUCCUGUCUUGGCACUUCAUAGUUGUCUCAUCGAGUCCAAGGCUGCCUCCCAAGGGUCUGGCUGGUAGACCAUGAAGUUGAUUCCUGCCUUAAGCCUGGCUCUGCAAGAAGUUGUCCUAUAUUCUCACCAGUCACAUUUUUGGUACUAGAACGGUGCUUUUUAUAGUGCACUCGUAACUGGACGCUGAAAUCACAGCCUGGCCAUUUGGAUGUUCAACCGAUGCUUUAUGCUGCUGAGUCCUUGGAACUCACUCCCCGUGCCGGAACUCACUGGAGCUCAGGUGUGUGGCACUACCUUGUUUCUCUGCAGCUGGUAUUGCAAACAUUUUUCAUGCAUUUAUUUCCCAUUGUUUACUUUUGAGUUUUUGUUUUGUGAGACAGGGUCUCAGUCUGUCACG
Molecule: long non-coding RNA, 1083 nt
Filed under: Homo sapiens (human)
Lineage: Eukaryota; Metazoa; Chordata; Mammalia; Primates; Hominidae
Description: HSALNT0384527
Source: RNAcentral